UCUCCUGGAAACGGGUGGUAAUGCCGGAUGCUCCGCCCCCUCGCAUGGGGGGUCGGGAAGGCUUUUGCGGAAUGGGAUGGGGUCGCGUCCUAUCAGCUUGUUGGCGGGGCGACGGCCCACCAAGGCUUCGACGGGUAGCCGGCCUGAGAGGGCGACCGGCCACAUUGGGACUGAGAUACGGCCCAGACUCCUACGGGAGGCAGCAGUGGGGAAUAUUGCACAAUGGGGGGAACCCUGAUGCAGCGACGCCGCGUGCGGGAUGGAGGCCUUCGGGUCGUGAACCGCUUUUGAUUGGGAGCAAGCGUGAGUGAGUGUACCUUUCGAAUAAGCACCGGCUAACUACGUGCCAGCAGCCGCGGUAAUACGUAGGGUGCAAGCGUUGUCCGGAAUCAUUGGGCGUAAAGGGCUCGUAGGCGGUUCGUCGCGUCCGGUGUGAAAGCCCAUCGCUUAACGGUGGGUCUGCGCCGGGUACGGGCGGGCCUGAGUGCGGCAGGGGAGGCUGGAAUUCCCGGUGUAACGGUGGAAUGUGUAGAUAUCGGGAAGAACACCA
This 550-nucleotide ribosomal RNA is filed under the name uncultured Bifidobacterium sp. Its description in RNAcentral is "bacterial SSU rRNA". It matches the Rfam family "Bacterial small subunit ribosomal RNA", at positions 146 to 711 of the family's 1533-position model. Lineage: Bacteria; Bacillati; Actinomycetota; Actinomycetes; Bifidobacteriales; Bifidobacteriaceae. The record is from RNAcentral.